Molecule: long non-coding RNA, 615 nt
Filed under: Chrysemys picta bellii (western painted turtle)
Lineage: Eukaryota; Metazoa; Chordata; Testudines; Emydidae
Description: lncRNA (ENSCPBG00000022043.1)
Source: RNAcentral
UCAGAAGCUUUGGAGAAGCUAUCCUAAUAAUUUCUGGGAUAAUGGUCCCAUUAAACAGCAAAUAAACAUAUGGUGCUGAGGCCUUCUUUCUCUGAAAAAGGUCAUUUUCCCUGGUGAUGGGCUCCACUGGAGCAUUAAUGAACAGAAAGACAAGAGCUCCAGCUGAGAAGGUGCUGUUGACAGAAGGCCCACGGACCCAUACAGCUGGAACGUCAUGCCUCAGAAAGAGUGCCACCUCUCAGGAUGGUUUUGUUUGACAGGUCCAUCUCUUGCUUGCUCUUGACUUUCCUUGCACACCAGCUAACCAUCUUCCCAUUUUAAUCUGCUCUCCCCCCUCCCAUGUAUGUUUGAAGGUGUGAUCAUGUUCAAUUAAAAUGUUGCAUGCCCCAUUGUGUAAGCUGCAGAUUAUACUGGAUCUCACAGAACAUUUUAACCCAUAGAUCAUUAGCACUCAGUGUUUUAUCCUAGUAACCAGAGGAAUAAUUUGGGGCCAAAAUCUGGAGGUAAAAGCAUGAGUUAUCCCAACAUGCAUUCACGGUUUCUCUCACUACUUUUCCCACAAGUCCUUUUGCCCUCCCCACAAAGAGCACCUUGAUUUAUAUGGAAUCUACAUUU